This 27-nucleotide non-coding RNA is filed under the name Homo sapiens (human). Lineage: Eukaryota; Metazoa; Chordata; Mammalia; Primates; Hominidae. The record is from RNAcentral.
UGGCAAAGGACAGAGGUGUUUCGUGGC